GCAGAACGCGAAGAACCUUACCCAGGUUUGACAUGCAAAGGACAGAGUUAGAGAUAGCUUCUCCCGCAAGGGUCUUUGCACAGGUGCUGCAUGGCUGUCGUCAGCUCGUGCCGUGAGGUGUUGGGUUAAGUCCCGCAACGAGCGCAACCCUUAUCGUUAGUUGCCAGCACGUGAUGGUGGGAACUCUAACGAGACUGCCCGGGUGAACCGGGAGGAAGGUGAGGAUGACGUCAAGUCCGCAUGGCCCUUAUGUCUGGGGCUACACACGUGCUACAAUGGUCGGUACAGAAGGCAGCAAAACCGCAAGGUGUAGCAAAUCCUGUAAAGCCGGCCCCAGUUCAGAUUGUAGUCUGCAACUCGACUACAUGAAGUUGGAAUUGCUAGUAAUGGCGCGUCAGCUACAGCGCCGUGAAUACGUUCCCGGGUCUUGUACACACCG
Molecule: ribosomal RNA, 439 nt
Filed under: uncultured bacterium
Lineage: Bacteria
Description: bacterial SSU rRNA
Rfam family: Bacterial small subunit ribosomal RNA
Source: RNAcentral